UUGUUGGUGGGGUAAUGGCCUACCAAGGCGACGAUCAGUAGCGGGUCUGAGAGGAUGAUCCGCCACACUGGAACUGAGACACGGUCCAGACUCCUACGGGAGGCAGCAGUGGGGAAUUUUGGACAAUGGGGGCAACCCUGAUCCAGCCAUUCCGCGUGAGUGAAGAAGGCCUUCGGGUUGUAAAGCUCUUUCAGCUGGAACGAAACGGUACGCCUUAAUACGGUGUGCUAAUGACGGUACCAGCAGAAGAAGCACCGGCUAACUACGUGCCAGCAGCCGCGGUAAUACGUAGGGUGCGAGCGUUAAUCGGAAUUACUGGGCGUAAAGCGUGCGCAGGCGGAUUGUUAAGCAAGAUGUGGAAUCCCCGGGCUUAACCUGGGAAUGGCAUUUUGAACUGGCAGUCUAGAGUGUGUCAGAGGGGGGUGGAAUUCCACGUGUAGCAGUGAAAUGCGUAGAUAUGUGGAGGAACACCAAUGGCGAAGGCAGCCCCCUGGGAUAACACUGACGCUCAUGUACGAAAGCGUGGGUAGCAAACAGGAUUAGAUACCCUGGUAGUCCACGCCCUAAACGAUGUCAACURGUUGUUGGGGGGAGUGAAAUCCYUUAGUAACGUAAGCUAACGCGUGAAGUUGACCGCCUGGAGAGUACGGUCGCAAGAUUAAAACUCAAAGGAAUUGACGGGGACCCGCACAAGCGGUGGAUGAUGUGGAUUAAUUCGAUGCAACGCGAAAAACCUUACCUACCCUUGACAUGUCCAGAAUCCUGCAGAGAUGCGGGAGUGCCCGAAAGGGAAUUGGAACACAGGUGCUGCAUGGCUGUCGUCAGCUCGUGCCGUGAGAUGUUGGGUUAAGUCCCGCAACGAGCGCAACCCUUAUCAUUAGUUGAUACGCAAGGGCACUUUAAUGAGACUGCCGG
RNAcentral lists this ribosomal RNA (915 nucleotides) under uncultured bacterium. RNAcentral describes it as "bacterial SSU rRNA". It matches the Rfam family "Bacterial small subunit ribosomal RNA", at positions 246 to 1155 of the family's 1533-position model. The record is from RNAcentral.